GAUGAACGCUGGCGGCGUGCCUAAUACAUGCAAGUCGAGCGAACGGACGAGAAGCUUGCUUCUCUGAUGUUAGCGGCGGACGGGUGAGUAACACGUGGAUAACCUACCUAUAAGACUGGGAUAACUUCGGGAAACCGUAGCUAAUACCGGAUAAUAUUUUGAGCCGCAUGGUUCAAAAGUGAAAGACGGUCUUGCUGUCACUUAUAGAUGGAUCCGCGCUGCAUUAGCUAGUUGGUAAGGUAACGGCUUACCAAGGCAACGAUGCAUAGCCGACCUGAGAGGGUGAUCGGCCACACUGGAACUGAGACACGGUCCAGACUCCUACGGGAGGCAGCAGUAGGGAAUCUUCCGCAAAGGGCGAAAGCCUGACGGAGCAACGCCGCGUGAGUGAUGAAGGUCUUCGGAUCGUAAAACUCUGUUAUUAGGGAAGAACAUAUGUGUAAGUAACUGUGCACAUCUUGACGGUACCUAAUCAGAAAGCCACGGCUAACUACGUG
RNAcentral lists this ribosomal RNA (497 nucleotides) under uncultured bacterium. RNAcentral's name for it is "partial 16S ribosomal RNA". It matches the Rfam family "Bacterial small subunit ribosomal RNA", at positions 28 to 507 of the family's 1533-position model. The record is from RNAcentral.